UCUGCUUCGGGUCAACGUAUAAAUAAAGAUAAAUCUUCCGUUUUCUUUAUCAAGGGCUGUGCUGAAGCCGUGAGACAGGAUAUUAAGAAUGUGUUGGAUGUUCCAAACGAGCACCUCUCUGAGAAAUAUCUUGGUCUCCCCUCUGAUGUAGGCCGGGCUAAAGAGGGUGCUUUCAAGUACUUGAAAGAUAGAAUCUCGAAGCAAAUUCAAGGUUGGAUGGAGAAAACUUUGUCCGUUGGGGGCAAAGAGGUGCUUAUUAAAUCUGUUGACCAAGCCAUCCCUACCUACUCGAUGGCCUGUUUUAAACUGCCUAGAGGAUUAUGCCAACACAUUAACAGGCUGCUACGUAAGUUCUGGUGGGGCUCAAAAAAGGGAGAGAGAAAGACUGCCUGGGUCUCCUGGGAAGUCAUGACACAACCAAAGUUCAUGGGAGGAAUGGGGUUCAGAGAUAUCGAGCUUUUUAACCUUGCAUUACUGGCCAAGCAGGCCUGGCGCCUCCUAUAG
RNAcentral lists this ribosomal RNA (504 nucleotides) under Triticum aestivum (bread wheat). Its description in RNAcentral is "partial small subunit ribosomal RNA". The record is from RNAcentral. Lineage: Eukaryota; Viridiplantae; Streptophyta; Magnoliopsida; Poales; Poaceae.